This 73-nucleotide transfer RNA is filed under the name Ovis aries (sheep). It matches the Rfam family "tRNA". From Rfam's summary of the family: Transfer RNA (tRNA) molecules are approximately 80 nucleotides in length. Their secondary structure includes four short double-helical elements and three loops (D, anti-codon, and T loops). Further hydrogen bonds mediate the characteristic L-shaped molecular structure. tRNAs have two regions of fundamental functional importance: the anti-codon, which is responsible for specific mRNA codon recognition, and the 3' end, to which the tRNAs corresponding amino acid is attached (by aminoacyl-tRNA synthetases). tRNAs cope with the degeneracy of the genetic code in two manners: having more than one tRNA (with a specific anti-codon) for a particular amino acid; and 'wobble' base-pairing, i.e. permitting non-standard base-pairing at the 3rd anti-codon position. Lineage: Eukaryota; Metazoa; Chordata; Mammalia; Artiodactyla; Bovidae. The record is from Rfam by way of RNAcentral.
UUCCUGGUGGUCGAGUGGCUAAGACUCUGUGCUCCCAAUGCAGGGGGCCUGGGUUUGAGUCCUGGUCAGGGAA